UAGGGAAUCUUCGGCAAUGGGGGGAACCCUGACCGAGCAACGCCGCGUGAGUGAAGAAGGUUUUCGGAUCGUAAAGCUCUGUUGUUAAGGAAGAACGAGUGUGAGAAUGGAAAGUUCAUACUGUGACGGUACUUAACCAGAAAGGGACGGCUAACUACGUGCCAGCAGCCGCGGUAAUACGUAGGUCCCGAGCGUUGUCCGGAUUUAUUGGGCGUAAAGCGAGCGCAGGCGGUUAGAUAAGUCUGAAGUUAAAGGCAGUGGCUCAACCAUUGAAGGCUUUGGAAACUGUUUAACUUGAGUGCAGAAGGGGGGAGUGGAAUUCCAUGUGUAGCGGUGAAAUGCGUAGAUAUAUGGAGGAACACCGGUGGCGAAAGCGGCUCUCUGGUCUGUAACUGACGCUGAGGCUCGAAAGCGUGGGGAGCGAACAGG
Molecule: ribosomal RNA, 429 nt
Filed under: Bacteroidota bacterium
Lineage: Bacteria; Pseudomonadati; Bacteroidota
Description: Bacteroidetes bacterium partial 16S ribosomal RNA
Rfam family: Bacterial small subunit ribosomal RNA
Source: RNAcentral